Molecule: ribosomal RNA, 1404 nt
Filed under: Triticum aestivum (bread wheat)
Lineage: Eukaryota; Viridiplantae; Streptophyta; Magnoliopsida; Poales; Poaceae
Description: partial small subunit ribosomal RNA
Source: RNAcentral
AUGUACGAUAUGGAUUGUAUGUUUGUUGAUCAGUCUGUUCCAUACUCUGCUCGAAUUAAAGGGUUGCCAUCUUUCCUAAAGCUUGAAUAUAAGCAUGCAUACAGUAGGUUGCAGACGAGGCUAGGAAAAACAUUUGAUGACAUUUACACCAGAAAUGAAUCAAUUUCCACUGGACUUGGCAUUGUCUCACUCCUUUUGCUUCCGUUUCUAGCCUUAGCUUCUAUUGUGCUCUUUGCCGUGAGCCACAAGGAUGGUCAGAACAAGAAGGACAUCAGGGUGACAUACAUCCUAUUAUGUUGUACCACCAUGUUGGAGCUUUUGCUUCCCUGCACAAUUUUCUCUGGGCUACUAGUUCCAUGUAUCUUUAAUUUCCUUAACGAUCCUAUUGAAGGGUGGCACGACAUGGUUUCCCAGCACAACAUCAUGUCCAUAUGUGUUCGCAAGAACAAGCCCACAUUCCUCAUGAAGCUUGUUACCUUCGACUUUCUGAGAGAGCUUCUUAACCAACAUUGGUAUAUUCAUCAAGUACCUAUAGCCUACCAGAUCACGGGGAAAGUUCACCGGCACAUGGAAGAGGGGUGGAAGAAGUACAUAUGCGACACAACAAGUUACAGGAGCUUCAGCGAGCUACGAGGCCAGUUGGCUCUAAGGAUGCACCAUCAGCUAGGAUGGAGCUUGAAGAUGGCUUUUGAUGAGAGCAUCCUCAUCUGGCACGUUGCCACAGAGCUCUGCUUUUAUCACCCCAACACAUCCCCUCGACGUCGACAAGGAGAAGCCACACAAGACAGUAGGAGCAUAUCCAAUUAUAUGUUCUACUUGCUUCUCAUCCGUCCUGAGAUGCUAAUACUUGGCACCAGGCCAGGUCUUUUCAAGUUAGCCAACGACCAGAUUUUAAAAUUUAGCGAGGGACCGCUCAACAUGACAGAAGAAAAUCUUGUGCAGGCGAUCCUUGAAAUGUCGUUGCCGCGAUCAAAUGAUAUGAUUACCAAUGCACGCAAACUCGCCGAAGCACUAAUGGAGCUAGGCAGUGAGGAUGAGAGGUGGAUUGUGAUCCAAGGUGUGUGGGUGGAGAUGCUCUGUUAUUCCGCCAGCAGAUGCAGGGGGUACCUGCAUGCCAAGAGCUUGGGUGAAGGCGGGGAGUUCCUUUCCUACAUCUAUCUCCUUUGGUCGUUCAUGGGAAUGGAGACAUUGGCGGAUAGGAAUCACAGGCCAUUGCCGCCGCUGAGGAAGCCAUUGCUUGAUAAUGGUGCUAAUGCUACCGGUGAAAGAUUUUGUCUUGAUUUCUUACUGCAAUGUGUUGAAUGUUAUUUUGGUGCUCAUGUUCUAGAGCAUAAUAUAAGCAUGUAUGUGUCUGUAUGUUCGUUGCUACAGCGUGCAGUAAGUGUAAGAAUGGAUUUUGUGUGA